RNAcentral lists this unclassified non-coding RNA (204 nucleotides) under soil metagenome. RNAcentral describes it as "partial contains 5.8S ribosomal RNA, internal transcribed spacer 2, and large subunit ribosomal RNA". The record is from RNAcentral.
AACAAGGCGUACCUGCGGACCUGCGGAGGGAUCAUUAUCGAGUUGCAAAACUCCAACCCUUUGUGAACAUACCUCAGUCGUUGCUUCGGCGGUGGACGGCCUGUUUUUCGGAACGGCCGGAAGCCGCCGGAGGUUCCAAACUCGUAUUUUUUAGUGUAUCUCUGAGCCUGAAAACAAAUAAUCAAAACUUUCAGCAACGGAUCU